Molecule: ribosomal RNA, 253 nt
Filed under: uncultured bacterium
Lineage: Bacteria
Description: partial 16S ribosomal RNA
Rfam family: Bacterial small subunit ribosomal RNA
Source: RNAcentral
UACGUAGGUGGCAAGCGUUAUCCGGAUUUAUUGGGUUUAAAGGGAGCGUAGGUGGAUUGUUAAGUCAGUUGUGAAAGUUUGCGGCUCAACCGUAAAAUUGCAGUUGAAACUGGCAGUCUUGAGUACAGUAGAGGUGGGCGGAAUUCGUGGUGUAGCGGUGAAAUGCUUAGAUAUCACGAAGAACUCCGAUUGCGAAGGCAGCUCACUGGACUGCAACUGACACUGAGGCUCGAAAGUGUGGGUAUCAAACAGG